Molecule: ribosomal RNA, 505 nt
Filed under: uncultured bacterium
Lineage: Bacteria
Description: partial 16S ribosomal RNA
Rfam family: Bacterial small subunit ribosomal RNA
Source: RNAcentral
GACGAACGCUGGCGGCGUGCCUAAUACAUGCAAGUAGAACGCACAGUUUAUACCGUAGCUUGCUACACCAUAGACUGUGAGUUGCGAACGGGUGAGUAACGCGUAGGUAACCUGCCUGGUAGCGGGGGAUAACUAUUGGAAACGAUAGCUAAUACCGCAUAAUAUUAAUUAUUGCAUGAUAAUUAAUUGAAAGGUGCAAUUGCACCACUACCAGAUGGACCUGCGUUGUAUUAGCUAGUAGGUGAGGUAACGGCUCACCUAGGCGACGAUACAUAGCCGACCUGAGAGGGUGAUCGGCCACACUGGGACUGAGACACGGCCCAGACUCCUACGGGAGGCAGCAGUAGGGAAUCUUCGGCAAUGGACGAAAGUCUGACCGAGCAACGCCGCGUGAGUGAAGAAGGUUGUCGGAUCGUAAAGCUCUGUUGUAAGAGAGGAACGGGUGUGAGAGUGGAAAGUUCACACUGUGACGGUAUCUUACCAGAAAGGGACGGCUAACUACGUG